Long non-coding RNA from Nematostella vectensis (starlet sea anemone), 1909 nucleotides. RefSeq lists it as uncharacterized. NCBI's taxonomy places the organism in Eukaryota, Metazoa, Cnidaria, Anthozoa, Actiniaria, Edwardsiidae. The record is from RefSeq and is a predicted model, not a curated record. The transcript has 2 exons.
UUAGUCACUGCUGGUCCAAUAAGAUCACUCUCCAGAAAUCCCUACACAACAACAACAACAACAACAAAAAUAGAAAAUUCAGUAUCACCCCAGAAAGGUGUUCAAAACUGGAAAAAAAGUUGGAGGCUUCAACACCUAAUUUCACCCUCUCAGCAGCCUAGGAUCUGAACCAGAUGGGAUCAACUAGACAUGACUCAGCAGCCUAGGAUCUGAACCAGGUGGGAUCAACUAGACAUGACUCAGCAGCCUAGGAUCUGAACCAGGUGGGAUCAACUAGACAUGACUCAGCAGCCUAGGAUCUGAACCAGAUGGGAUCAACUAGACAUGACUCAGCAGCCUAGGAUCUGAACCAGAUGGGAUCAACUAGACAUGACUCAGCAGCCUAGGAUCUGAACCAGGUGGGAUCAACUUGACAUGACUCAGCAGCCUAGGAUCUGAACCAGAUGGGAUCAACUAGACAUGACUCAGCAGCCUAGGAUCUGAACCAGAUGGGAUCAACUAGACAUGACUCAGCAGCCUAGGAUCUGAACCAGAUGGGAUCAACUAGACAUGACUCAGCAGCCUAGGAUCUGAACCAGAUGGGAUCAACUAGACAUGACUCAGCAGCCUAGGAUCUGAACCAGAUGGGAUCAACUAGACAUGACUCAGCAGCCUAGGAUCUGAACCAGAUGGGAUCAACUAGACAUGACUCAGCAGCCUAGGAUCUGAACCAGAUGGGAUCAACUAGACAUGACUCAGCAGCCUAGGAUCUGAACCAGAUGGGAUCAACUAGACAUGACUCAGCAGCCUAGGAUCUGAACCAGAUGGGAUCAACUAGACAUGACUCAGCAGCCUAGGAUCUGAACCAGACGGGAUCAACUAGACAUGACUCAGCAGCCUAGGAUCUGAACCAGAUGGGAUCAACUAGACAUGACUCAGCAGCCUAGGAUCUGAACCAGAUGGGAUCAACUAGACAUGACUCAGCAGCCUAGGAUCUGAACCAGAUGGGAUCAACUAGACAUGACUCAGCAGCCUAGGAUCUGAACCAGAUGGGAUCAACUAGACAUGACUCAGCAGCCUAGGAUCUGAACCAGAUGGGAUCAACUAGACAUGACUCAGCAGCCUAGGAUCUGAACCAGAUGGGAUCAACUAGACAUGACUCAGCAGCCUAGGAUCUGAACCAGAUGGGAUCAACUAGACAUGACUCAGCAGCCUAGGAUCUGAACCAGAUGGGAUCAACUAGACAUGACUCAGCAGCCUAGGAUCUGAACCAGAUGGGAUCAACUAGACAUGACUCAGCAGCCUAGGAUCUGAACCAGAUGGGAUCAACUAGACAUGACUCAGCAGCCUAGGAUCUGAACCAGAUGGGAUCAACUAGACAUGACUCAGCAGCCUAGGAUCUGAACCAGAUUGGAUCAACUAGACAUGACUCAGCAGCCUAGGAUCUGAACCAGAUGGGAUCAACUAGACAUGACUCAGCAGCCUAGGAUCUGAACCAGAUGGGAUCAACUAGACAUAUUAUGUUGUAUGCAUGUUUUGGUCCUCACCUUACUGAUCCCAUCCAGUUCUGCAUUAAGUUGAUCCAGCCUGGAUUUUAACUCGCCAACUUGUUGCUCGACUGACCGAAUGGCCUUCAUGUUAUCAUCAGCUUCGGGGUCAUACUGAAAACAGGAGUAGAGUGGAUAUGUAUCACUCAUAAUAUGAGAACUUUAAAAUUAAAUCAAAUAUGAAAAGUAAUCACUUCCGUUGGGACUGGAAUGCUGAAUUACAAGAGCACAGAUUAACCUGGUUAAGGCAUAGAGGUCAGUAAAAAAAGGCAGUUGAUAUACUGUACGACUCAUGUUUUACCACCAAACACAGCUUACUAUAUGCAAAAUUGAUUUUUUUUUGUAUGUAAGGAGGGGGGAGAACCAGAGAGCCCAAAGAAUAA